Heterocephalus glaber (naked mole-rat) is the source of this 107-nucleotide small nuclear RNA. The record is from Ensembl. Lineage: Eukaryota; Metazoa; Chordata; Mammalia; Rodentia; Bathyergidae.
GUGCUUGCUUCGGCAGCACAUAUACUAAAAUUGUAACAACACAGAGAAGAUUAGCAUGGACCCUGCACAAGGAUGACACGCAAAUUCAUGAAGCUUUCCAUUUAGAA